RNAcentral lists this transfer RNA (73 nucleotides) under Camelus bactrianus (Bactrian camel). It matches the Rfam family "tRNA". From Rfam's summary of the family: Transfer RNA (tRNA) molecules are approximately 80 nucleotides in length. The record is from Rfam by way of RNAcentral. RNAcentral also lists the same sequence under 2 other names. Lineage: Eukaryota; Metazoa; Chordata; Mammalia; Artiodactyla; Camelidae.
GAGGGUAUAGCUCAAGUGGUAGAGUGCAUGCUUAGCAUGCAUGAGGUCCUGGGUUCAAUCCCCAUUAUCUCCA